UACAUGUAAACAAAUUAAUAUGUAUGUUUUGGUGGCACAAUAAUUCUGGUACUGGACAAACAAUACACAUUCAUACCUUAGAGAAUCCAC
This is a long non-coding RNA of Sinocyclocheilus rhinocerous, 90 nucleotides long. RefSeq lists it as uncharacterized. The record is from RefSeq and is a predicted model, not a curated record. The transcript is spliced from 3 exons. Lineage: Eukaryota; Metazoa; Chordata; Actinopteri; Cypriniformes; Cyprinidae.